UGAAGGCCUACUGUGUACCAGG
RNAcentral lists this microRNA (22 nucleotides) under Dasypus novemcinctus (nine-banded armadillo). Its description in RNAcentral is "dno-miR-493-3p". Its record names the gene dno-miR-493-3p. Lineage: Eukaryota; Metazoa; Chordata; Mammalia; Cingulata; Dasypodidae. The record is from miRBase by way of RNAcentral.